This 490-nucleotide ribosomal RNA is filed under the name Papiliotrema laurentii. RNAcentral's name for it is "eukaryotic LSU rRNA". It matches the Rfam family "Eukaryotic large subunit ribosomal RNA", at positions 140 to 610 of the family's 3401-position model. The record is from RNAcentral. Lineage: Eukaryota; Fungi; Basidiomycota; Tremellomycetes; Tremellales; Rhynchogastremaceae.
GAGUUGUAAUCUAUAGAGGCGUUUUCCGUGCCGGACCGUGUCCAAGUUCCUUGGAACAGGAUAUCAAAGAGGGUGACAAUCCCGUACUUGACACGACGACCGGUGCUCUGUGAUACGUCUUCUACGAGUCGAGUUGUUUGGGAAUGCAGCUCAAAAUGGGUGGUGAGUUCCAUCUAAAGCUAAAUAUUGGCGAGAGACCGAUAGCGAACAAGUACCGUGAGGGAAAGAUGAAAAGCACUUUGGAAAGAGAGUUAAACAGUACGUGAAAUUGUUGAAAGGGAAACGAUUGAAGUCAGUCGUGACCGAGAGGCUCAGCCGGUUCUGCCGGUGUAUUCCCCUCGGUCGGGUCAACAUCAGUUUUGUCCGGUGGAUAAGGACGGUAGGAAGGUGGCACCCUCGGGUGUGUUAUAGCCUGCCGUCGCAUACAUCGGGUGAGACUGAGGAACGCAGCUCGCCUUUAUGGCCGGGGUUCGCCCACGUCCGAGCUUAG